This 552-nucleotide ribosomal RNA is filed under the name uncultured bacterium. Its description in RNAcentral is "bacterial SSU rRNA". It matches the Rfam family "Bacterial small subunit ribosomal RNA", at positions 354 to 897 of the family's 1533-position model. The record is from RNAcentral.
GUGGGGAAUUUUGGACAAUGGGCGCAAGCCUGAUCCAGCAAUGCCGCGUGCAGGAAGAAGGCCUUCGGGUUGUAAACUGCUCUUGUACGGAACGAAACGGCUCUGGUUAAUACCUGGGGCUAAUGACGGUACCGUAAGAAUAAGCACCGGCUAACUACGUGCCAGCAGCCGCGGUAAUACGUAGGGUGCAAGCGUUAAUCGGAAUUACUGGGCGUAAAGCGUGCGCAGGCGGUUGUGUAAGACAGGCGUGAAAUCCCCGGGCUCAACCUGGGAAUUGCGCUUAUGACUGCACGGCUGGAGUGCGGCAGAGGGGGAUGGAAUUCCGCGUGUAGCAGUGAAAUGCGUAGAUAUGCGGAGGAACACCGAUGGCGAAGGCAAUCCCCUGGGCCUGCACUGACGCUCAUGCACGAAAGCGUGGGGAGCAAACAGGAUUAGAUACCCUGGUAGUCCACGCCCUAAACGAUGUCAACUGGUUGUAUGGGUCUCUUCUGACUCAAUGACGAAGCUAACGCGUGAACGUUGACCGCCUGGGGAGUACGGCCGCAAGGUUGA